UACGGGGGGGGCAAGCGUUGUUCGGAAUUACUGGGCGUAAAGGGCUCGUAGGCGGCCAACUAAGUCCGACGUGAAAUCCCAAGGCUUAACCUUGGAACUGCGUCGGAUACUGGAUGGCUUGAAUUCGGGAGAGGGAUGCAGAAUUCCAGGUGUAGCGGUGAAAUGCGUAGAUAUCUGGAGGAAUACCGGUGGCGAAGGCGGCAUCCUGGACCGACAUUGACGCUGAGGAGCGAAAGCCAGGGGAGCAAACGGG
This 253-nucleotide ribosomal RNA is filed under the name uncultured bacterium. RNAcentral's name for it is "partial 16S ribosomal RNA". It matches the Rfam family "Bacterial small subunit ribosomal RNA", at positions 524 to 776 of the family's 1533-position model. The record is from RNAcentral.